UUAACUCAAAUUUGUAUGAAGUUGGAACAGCUUCCCUUCCUUUGCUAGGGGCGCUGUUCCAACAUCAUACAAAUUUGAGUUA
Non-coding RNA from Bombyx mori (domestic silkworm), 82 nucleotides. Lineage: Eukaryota; Metazoa; Arthropoda; Insecta; Lepidoptera; Bombycidae. The record is from Rfam.